UGCCACACCGGUUCCCUUACGAUCACCUUAGUAAAGCAACGUCGAGCCUGGUGAGUACAUUGAUGGGUGAACGGUUGGGAAUACCUGGUGCUAUAA
Acanthosepion pharaonis is the source of this 96-nucleotide non-coding RNA. The record is from the annotation of a GenBank genome assembly. NCBI's taxonomy places the organism in Eukaryota, Metazoa, Mollusca, Cephalopoda, Sepiida, Sepiidae.